AAGUUGUUUAGGGACAGUUCUUCUCCGGGACUGCCCACUGGAGUCGAGUGCCCUUACAGGGAGCGAGCACCAGGCUGAGUUAACUCUGGGAAAGCUCAAAGUCAGGCUCAGCCCUCCAACUCCCAACUCCCCCGAGUUUGGCCUCCGAGAUUUGUAUUCCACCUCGCCACACUGCAGCCCGUCCCCUCCCCCCUCCGCGUUCACCUAUCGCCUUAUGAAAUCUCACCCCUGUUUAUCAGGGUCUGGAGCGCCCUUUGCACUUUUACGUUUCACUUAAUUAUUUCGGACUUGAUCUUGGCUGGGAACAAGGGGGAAAAACCAGCUCCUCUCCAAGGGUUAAAUUUUAAACCGCGGUUUCUCGGACAGUCCCGGAAACCCAGAGCAGAGGUGGGGGGUGCGGGGGAGACCGCUUUUCUCCCACCCUCACUGCACAUGCUAAUAACGAGUUCAGUUUUAUAGAUUGAUUCUGCUAAAGCUUAUGUAUAAAAAAGAAGAAAGGAAAGGAAAAGAAGAGGGAAGAAACCAACAAUCCUGUUUCUAAGAUUUUAAAGUGAUAGGCAAAUCGGAGAAGCCGAGAUUUAUUUGCGGGAAAGCGAGAGUGUGUGAAGCCGACCCAGCAUUAGGAAGACCAGCCCGCCCACUUGGAAGUGGAGACUGUUGAUGCCUCCAAUUAAUGAAAAUGCAUUUGGUGUUAAUCGUAUUUAUUUUACUUUAGGGGAGGGGGAUACGCUAGGAGGGUGCAUUAAAAAAAAAAAAAAUCUGAAAAGCCUGCAAAAGGAUGGAAGAGUGAAAACUAUUGUUGGACCGAGUUGGUUUUUACCUCAACAGCGCCACCUUUCGGCAAAGCAAUUCACAGUUGUAAGUUAAAGCCGCUCUCUCUUUGAAGACACAUCUUUUAUAAUUUUUAUUAGAGGUAAUUUAUUAUUUGCAUUACCUGUGUUUACUUCAUAAUUGAACAUUUUGCAUUCAAAUUUAUGUAAUGCAUUAUGCUUGAGAAUAUAUUUCUGCCUGAUUAGCAUAAAUAGUCACUUACCUCAUGAAUUACUAACAAAGUUUAUCUUAAAAUAUAGGUUUUUUUUAUUAAGUGGAACACAAACAUAUGUACAAUAAAUUCUGAUUUUCCGGUGCAUUAGAGAACAACUCUCAUUCAGUUAGGGGGAAGCGAGGGGAGGAAGCAAAAUACACAGAAAUGAAAUUUGUAGGUUUCUUUCCAAGGGCAUCAUUUAGACAGGGGUACAUAGGGUGGGGUGGGGGGAAAGGGUUGGGCUUUUCAUAUGCUGUAUUGGAUUAUUCACAUCUCAAAGUGUGAAUUCUGGAAAGUCCUGUUAUUAGUGAUUUCUACCUUUGCCGACAACCAUGGUAGCAAACCAGUGACAGAGUUUGAGGGUUCUGCUUAUUUUUAUUUUUAAUGUGUUUGUUUACUUGUUUUUGUCUCUGCAGGGUUCUUCCUUAGAACAUAACACACACUGUUUAAUGAAAUGCUUGCCCGUUUGGCCCCACAGAUGCAGAAAAGCCAGAUGUUUUCUCCAGUGGGAAUUCCUGGGAAGGUGUGGUGGUCCUUUUCCCCACUGUCAUCCCAGAAAGACACCCAACAUGGCCUGGCAGACAGGCAGUGAUUAACAAAUAGUUUUGUACACACAUGAACAAUGGAAGGAGAGGACUUCUUUUGGUCUUAGGCAGUAGAGAGAGAUACAAGAAGAUGGGCCUUAUUUCCCCAGACUUGCUGUUCCAAAUCACCAGAUUUCUAAGUUUCUUUUUUUUUUUUUUUUUCUUUCUUCUCUCUUUCUUUUUUCUGGGCAUAUCCAUCUCCUUAAAUUUUUCUUUUCCUUCAGUUAGGGGUUGCUUAGGAUGCGACCUUUCCUUAGCAUCCCUUUUGAUCCUACUCACAGCUUAUACUGGUGAGGGAGUUUGUCUCAAAAGCAUUCAACCCUUGGAGAUUUUUAUUGUGGUGAAUGCAGAACUGAUUAAAAAAAAAAAGAAAGAAAGAAAGAGAAAAAGAGAUCUGAUAUUGGAGCAAUCGUUAUGUGUCUUUUAUGCACGGUAACUCAGAGGACAGGCUCCUGGGUAAUGCUAGCUUCCCAACCCUGGUGAUGGGGUGAUUCAUGGCUCCUGUUCCAAAGGCAUUUAGCAGCCAUUUGACCUGGGAAGGAAAUGGAGUUCUAGAAAAUACAGAUCAAAAUCAAAUACUCCUGAGAGUCUCAGAAUGAGUAGGUUGAUGCAGAGGAUUUCUGAACGUGUGUGUUUCUGAAUUUGUCUGGCUGGGGCCUGCCAGCCAGAAAGGGGUCCCCUGUGGCCCUGUUUGAUACCUUAGUUCUCGGUUGCAUCGUGGGUGCUGUGGUGCGUCCCCACACAUUGUUCUCUGCACUAAAAACACCCAUUGUACACAGCGACGUCCUCACCGCAUCAGCCCUCACGACAGAGUGUUCCUGAUCUGAUGAAGAAUGAGAAAUUGGGCUAACUACCCCCCCCCCAAAAAAUUAAAAUUAAAGUAAAAUGUAUAGGCUUCUGCUAAGAUUUUAUAUUUAGUAAUUUUAUGAUGGUGAUGCAUGCUCCUUGUUAAAUAUAGAUAUGUGGACAAGACAGAAAUAGGAUAACAAUGUAAAGGAUUACUAGUCCUCACCUUCACCCCAGACCCCGCAUCUUGGUCUCAUGUGUUACCACCUGUAAUAACUGGGCUGUGUGGACACUUUUUGCAGAAUGGCGUGCACAUAGUUCUUUAACUUGAGCUCCUUUUGCAUGCACAUAGUUCUUUAACUUGAGCUCCCUUUAAAACACAUCCGCCUCGUAACAAGAGAAAACGAGGUUUUGCGUACUUCUCUCUUCUUUGGCAGAAUUCACCUAAGGGAAGCUCAGAUUGAGAGGAGAGAUCUGACCUUCACAUCUUGCUUUUAACCGACGCACAGAUCUGGAUCCACUUUACAACACCCUGGCAGCUCGGUGCCAGCUGCAGAUGAAAUUGAUGUGCUUUUUAUAUGACUUACCCGCUCUGAACCGGGCCCCUCAUCUGCCAAUAUGGUAUUGUCAGGACUGGAGACGGUGCCUGUGAAGCCCCAGAGGAACUCCCUAAGUGGCAGGUGCUCUUCUGAAUUUCCUUCUGUGCCCCCGAGUUGUUGAUAACAACAUUGGAAAGGACCCAGCCCUGUGGCUUCUGGGGGAGACUGUCCCACCGAACUCCCAAUGAUUAUGCAGAGCACCCCACCGGAUCAUUUGAGUGCUAGUGGGCAAUUUAAACUGACUCAGUCUAUUUGGUAAUUGGAGUAAUUUUAAACUAAAUGACCCCAUCUGGAUGUCCUAUACAUACCCUUCUAAUCGAUUCUAAAAUAACUUCGCUUUUUUGAUGGUGUAGGCAAAGCUCUCUGUUGGAGAAGAUAGAUUACUAGGUAAUUGUUUCACAUUUCACACCUGCCUUUGUCUUUGUAAACCUUUGCCCUGUCAAAACACAAAGCAGUUGUCCAAAGUUGGGACCUUGGAGACUAAUAAAAAAUAGAUGUAACCCAGAAA
This is a long non-coding RNA of Nycticebus coucang (slow loris), 3501 nucleotides long. RefSeq lists it as uncharacterized. Lineage: Eukaryota; Metazoa; Chordata; Mammalia; Primates; Lorisidae. The record is from RefSeq and is a predicted model, not a curated record. The transcript is spliced from 3 exons.